This 254-nucleotide ribosomal RNA is filed under the name uncultured bacterium. RNAcentral describes it as "partial 16S ribosomal RNA". It matches the Rfam family "Bacterial small subunit ribosomal RNA", at positions 524 to 776 of the family's 1533-position model. The record is from RNAcentral.
UACGUAGGGGGCAAGCGUUUGUCCGGAAUCAUUGGGCGUAAAGCGCGUGUAGGCGGCUUGAUAAGUCUGCUCUGAAAGCCCGGGGCUCAACCCUGGGAGGCGGGUGGAUACUGUCGAGCUCGAGUCCGGAAGAGGCGAGUGGAAUUCCUGGUGUAGCGGUGAAAUGCGCAGAUAUCAGGAGGAACACCGGUGGCGAAGGCGGGUCUCUGGGCAGUAACUGACGCUGAGGAGCGAAAGCAUGGGGAGCGAACAGG